This 395-nucleotide ribosomal RNA is filed under the name uncultured Methanosaeta sp. RNAcentral's name for it is "bacterial SSU rRNA". It matches the Rfam family "Archaeal small subunit ribosomal RNA", at positions 943 to 1338 of the family's 1478-position model. Lineage: Archaea; Methanobacteriati; Methanobacteriota; Methanomicrobia; Methanotrichales; Methanotrichaceae. The record is from RNAcentral.
CAAUAUGAAGGUCAGGCUGAAGACCUUACCGAUUAGCUGAGAGGUGGUGCAUGGCCGUCGUCAGUUCGUACUGUGAAGCAUCCUGUUAAGUCAGGCAACGAGCGAGACCCACGUCCACAGUUGCCAGCAUACCCUCCGGGGUGAUGGGUACACUGUGGAGACCGCCGCUGCUAAAGCGGAGGAAGGAGUGGGCAACGGUAGGUCAGUAUGCCCCGAAUCUCCCGGGCUACACGCGGGCUACAAUGGUUGGUACAAUGGGCAUCUACCCCGAAAGGGGAAGGAAAUCUCUUAAAGCCAAUCGUAGUUCGGAUUGAGGGCUGCAACUCGCCCUCAUGAAGCUGGAAUCCGUAGUAAUCGCGUUUCAACAGAACGCGGUGAAUACGUCCCUGCUCCUU